This 466-nucleotide ribosomal RNA is filed under the name uncultured bacterium. RNAcentral's name for it is "partial 16S ribosomal RNA". It matches the Rfam family "Bacterial small subunit ribosomal RNA", at positions 28 to 507 of the family's 1533-position model. The record is from RNAcentral.
GAUGAACGCUGGCGGCGUGCUUAACACAUGCAAGUCGAACGGAAAGGCCCAAGCUUGCUUGGGUACUCGAGUGGCGAACGGGUGAGUAACACGUGGGUGAUCUGCCCUGCACUUCGGGAUAAGCCUGGGAAACUGGGUCUAAUACUGGAUAGGACCACUUCUUGGAUGUUGUGGUGGAAAGUUUUUUCGGUGUGGGAUGAGCUCGCGGCCUAUCAGCUUGUUGGUGGGGUAAUGGCCUACCAAGGCGUCGACGGGUAGCCGGCCUGAGAGGGUGUACGGCCACAUUGGGACUGAGAUACGGCCCAGACUCCUACGGGAGGCAGCAGUGGGAAUAUUGCACAAUGGGCGCAAGCCUGAUGCAGCGACGCCGCGUGGGGGAUGACGGCCUUCGGGUUGUAAACUCCUUUCGCUAGGGACGAAGCGUUUUGUGACGGUACCUGGAGAAGAAGCACCGGCUAACUACGUG